This 405-nucleotide ribosomal RNA is filed under the name uncultured bacterium. Its description in RNAcentral is "bacterial SSU rRNA". It matches the Rfam family "Bacterial small subunit ribosomal RNA", at positions 355 to 776 of the family's 1533-position model. The record is from RNAcentral.
UGGGGAAUCUUGCGCAAUGGGCGAAAGCCUGACGCAGCAACGCCGCGUGGGGGAUGAAGGCUUUCGGGUUGUAAACCCCUUUCAGCAGGGACGAUUAUGACGGUACCUGCAGAAGAAGGACCGGCCAACUACGUGCCAGCAGCCGCGGUAAUACGUAGGGUCCAAGCGUUGUCCGGAUUUAUUGGGCGUAAAGAGCUCGUAGGUGGUUCGCUAAGUCGGAUGUGAAAACUCGGGGCUCAACCCCGAGACGCCAUCCGAUACUGGCGUGACUUGAGUCUGGUAGGGGAGAUGGGAAUUCCUGGUGUAGCGGUGAAAUGCGCAGAUAUCAGGAGGAACACCGAUGGCGAAGGCACAUCUCUGGGCCAGUACUGACACUGAGGAGCGAAAGCGUGGGUAGCAAACAGG